UUCCAUCAUCUACUAUAACACUUUAAUUUAUAGAUGAAAAUGUUUGUGAGACCCAGUGAAAGCAACAGUGCAUUUUCAUAAAGCAUCCACAGAAAGAUGCUUUAGGGGUACGGGAACAUGAGGCUGAGCUCCUUGGUUAGGAUGGAUCAGUGGAAGGUAGUAAAUGUCAGAGAUAAGCACAAAGCUGGCAGAUAUAGCAGACAUGAAGUAAGAGGAGGUGAAAAGGUAGUUGGAGGGCACAUUGUAUUGGUAAGAACAAAAAGGCACAGUUCAAAUAUUGACUUUAUUAGUUUUCCUUGCCUUCUGAAUUCUUAAUGUUAGUAUAUUUUAUAUCCCCCUAGUAACACUAGAGAAGAAAUAGGAAGAGGUGAGUCAUGUAUUUUGGAAUGAAUAUAAAUAAUAAUUAGAAGACUAAUAGUAGUGGCUAACAUUUAUUGCACAUUUAUUCAUUAACUAUAUGUAAUCACCUGCCUAAGAAUUUUACCUCAUUUAAGCCUCACAAUAAACUCCAAGGUAACUGCUUUUGCAUCGACAUUCUUAAGAUGAGGAGAAGCUCAAAAAGAUUAACAACUUGCUCAUAAAACUAGUAAAUUUCAAAGCCAGGAUUAGAAUUUGAACAGUCAAUGGUCUUAACCAUUGGUUUUUAAUAGUCAUGACUCUCACUAACUCUUGACAGAAAUCCCAGAUCAAAUUUCCUUAAGCAACAAAAAGGUGAAAGUAUUUUUCAAAUCCAGGGUUAUUUUAGCCUCUUUUGUAGGCUGAAUUAUUUUUUUGUUUCUUCCUAGCAAGUCUUUCUCCUGUCUUCCUCCUUUAUUCAAGAUCUGCACAAAACAUAACUCCUUCUAACAGUUUAUUUCUCUAUGCACCUGGGUUCCAUUUACGUAGAAAAAUAGAAGAUUUUUUCUUCACCAACAGUGUGACUAAAAUAGCUACUAUUUUCACCAAAGAAAUAUUCUCUCCUUCCAUUGUGUAACAGAGUUAUGGAUAAGUUUUUCCAGGUCAACAGUUUCUAAGUAAGAUCAUGUGACUGAAUUCUAGCUAAUAAGGAAAACCGUUAUACAAACUGAAAAGAUUCCAGCAAAUGAUCCCAGUACACUGUGAGGAAAUCAGUCAGGCUUCAGCCACGUGGCUCUUUUCCCAACCUUGGAUAGAUUGCUCACAGGCCAGAGCUUGGAAACUCUCUCAAGGAAGUGAGCUGGGGGAAAUAUUAGUUUCACCUCGCUUUUUUACCAUUUCUCAGGGAUCACUGUCAUUCAUUGCUUUAUGUUCAGUGCCUUGAAAUACUCAUGACAAUUACAGUUCUCACUUCAGUAACUGCUCACGUGGUCAUAGCUGGUAUUUAUAACUACCUUCUUUCAUUAUGCAUUUGUAUUCCCUUUGCCUUCAGCAAGCACCUCAACUUCCUCAUUGUUCUUUACCUUGUGGAUUGACGCAAACCUUCAUUCCUGAAUGGUCUGGGCCAUUAGUAGUCCUACCUGGAUUAGAUUGUUCUAGUUUUCCAUUGACCUUAGUCACAGGGCAUGGUAAUAGUAAGAGACACGCUAAGGAAUCUCUUGUAUUCCCAACAUACCCUUCCUUAGCUCCACAAUGGAGCAGUAGGCCAAUUUCCCCUUGGUAGUUAGGAUCAGUCACUUUAGCCAGCACACUAACUCUUUUCUUUGGCUACUGAUUCAGAGGCAUGCGGAGCCCAAAAUGGCUGGAUAGUAGUCUUAACUUCUAGUUCAAUGGAAUAAUUGUUGUUUCUUCUAGUGGAAGUAUUCCUCCCUCUGGAACUAAGACAUCUAGUCCAGAAGAGCGUAAAGUCAUGCAAACAGGAAGCAAAAGUUUUGCCACUCGGUUAUUAUGGGUAAUAAUGAGUGGUGCCAAUCCCGUUUUCACUCCUUGAUUUCUGGACCUGUGAAUUCUGGCUGUGGAAGAAACAGGUUGGAUGCUGAUUUAGAGCAUAUACAGCCUUCUGGAGAAUCUUACCUCACCCCUACAAGGUAUUGCCACCUAGCUGGCAUUUUGAGUCUUCAGUGGAUCAUUGCAGUGUUCUGUCAAACUAGCUGCUUCAGGAUGAUGGAGAAUACGGUAAGACUAGUGAAUUCCAUGAGUAUGGGCCCGUUACCAUAUUUAUUUUGAUCUUAAGUGAGUUUGCUGAUUAGAUGCAAUGCUGUGUGAAAAUUAUGACAGUGCGUAAGUCAUUCUGUAAGUCCAUUGGUG
RNAcentral lists this long non-coding RNA (2202 nucleotides) under Equus caballus (horse). RNAcentral describes it as "lncRNA (ENSECAG00000054341.1)". The record is from RNAcentral. Lineage: Eukaryota; Metazoa; Chordata; Mammalia; Perissodactyla; Equidae.